Molecule: long non-coding RNA, 2746 nt
Organism: Callithrix jacchus (white-tufted-ear marmoset)
Lineage: Eukaryota; Metazoa; Chordata; Mammalia; Primates; Cebidae
Source: Ensembl
GGGAAGUGUAAGUGCUAAGAAUAUAUGUCAUCUAAAACUGGAGAAAGGUGAGAUGUGUUAGCUGAAUAGAUGCUGUUUGCUGAGGGGCAUUUGAGAGAGAAAAUCAAAUUGGGAGUUAAUUAAACAUUUUAUUCUUAGACAAUUAAAUGUCAACAAAUUGGUGAGCUGGGAGGGAACCAACCCCCUUCAUUUUACUGACAAGGAGAGUGAAUCAUAGCAAAGGAAAGUGACUUGCCCAAGACCACACAGCCAGAUGAUGGUAGAGUGCGGGAACCCAGCCCUUCUGACACACACUGACUCCCAUCCUCUCUAUUGGAUCUUGGGAGAAAGCACUCUAUCAAGAGAGACACAACAAGAAUGAAGAAAGUUUCUAUGGAAAAUCCUCUUCCUGUGGGAAAAUGAGAAGAGGUAAGUGGAUAAAGUGCCAGACGUUGGUGCAUGACAUCACGAGACAAUAAAAACCAGGAUUAACAACCAGGAACAAAAGCUUGUCACAUCUCUGGAGGGCUUUGAUGAGAGACACACUGGGACUUGGUGACCGGCUGUUGGGAACGGGGAGGAGUGGAAACAAGCAGUGCUGGAAUUGGGAGCUUUAUCCGGUCUGAAAAGUGGUCACUGGGGGAGUGACCACUAGCACAAUAAAAAGUCCACAGUGCCUGGUGGGAGAUGAUAGCAAACAGUCUCCCACCAGGCCCUUGCUAAUAUUGAAGAGAAUUUGGAGCUGGAGGAUGUAGACAGCAGCAGCAGUUUCCAGACAGCAAUGAUGCCUGAGGUCAGGAAGCUGACAAUGUCAUGGUUCUGGGUGGUCCAUCUGCUUUGGAAUAAGACCCCAGCCAGCAGCUGGGGUUAUCAGAAAAAUGGUCCAGCUUUUAGGCAAAGAAGCUCGCAUGAACUGGAACUGUCUCUGGCAUAUCUUGGGUACAAUAAUGAAGAAGAUAAGAGCAGAAGACUCAGAGCAUUCACAGAAUUUUAAAGGGACCCCCGAGGAGAAGAAACAAAUUUUUAUAAGAAAAGCAGAACACCGAACACUUGAACAACUGGUUAUUUUCUCUUUAGUGUGAUCAAGAGGGAGGUAUCAGAAAGAAAGCAAUAGUCUAGAUUCAAAAAGCAUCCAAAACUUCAGUACCUUAUUUAAUGUGGCCAAGUGGUUUAGGUAGCAAAGCUCAUUUUUUUACUUACAUGUUCACUUAUUAAUUAUUAUCUUUAUCUCAAUUUCUCUAUUGCAAAAUUAUGACUGAAGUAAUAUAUAUCUCCUAGAGUGGUUGUGAUGAUUAAAGGAGUUUAUAGUAUCAAAGGUUAAGAAAAGUCCCAGAUACAUAAUAAGUAUUCAUAAAGAUUAGCUAUAAUCAUUGCUAUCAUCGUCAUUUUCAUGAUCACUACCAUCGCUAUCAAGAUGAAUCGCUUGUUCAGAGAACAGCGUAACUGAAGACUGUGAGCUCCCUGAAGAUAAGUGUGGCAUAGUUACCACUGUUAUGUCUGCCAAUUAGGAUAGAGCUCAGUGCAAACUAGGGGCUCAACAAAUGUCUAUUGGUUAAAACAAUGGAUAUGUACAUGAAGCUCAGCAGAAACUUGGUGGCUAAAUAAAACAGCAGAAAGGCCAUAGUGGUAUGAAAAGGCAUUCUGAAUAAAUGGAAAUCAGACUCUGAAUAGAUGCCAGGUGGGCAGAUUUUGACAUCAUUCUGCCUAUGACUGAAAACUCCUGCAGAAGACUGAGCCAUAAUAGAGCCCUGAAGUGUGGUCUGUGCCAAGAGAAGGAGAGCUUUGAAAGCCAGGCUAAGAUGGUUGGACUUUGUUGUGAAUCAGAGUACUCACAAUUCUUUCCCACACCAGAAAAACAGUAAGCACUUAAUACAUUUCAACCAAUCUAAAUCUGAGAAGUUGUACAAGAGUUGCAAUUCAGGUGAACUGCAGUCACCAAUUUUAGCAUGCAUGGGACAGGCCAUUCACUUAAUGAACUGUUGUUUUGGGUUUAAAAUUUGUUAUUAUUACUUAUUUGAAAAAUAAUAUGUGACUAUCUUAAAAGUUUAUCAACAGGGACUUCCAGCUAUUGCUUGGGAUAUGAGAAGCUGGAAAGGCCAUUGCUUCUGCAAUAAUAACAAGAAAAAGAUGUGUAAUCUACAAAGUCAGAACUUUUCUUGAACCUAUGAGGGAGCUGAGAUUGCAUGACAAACACGCUAAAAAGACAGGUACUUCUAAAGAGGUGUUAGGAUGCAAACUCUCACUUCUCGGCAGCAGAGCACAUGGGAAAGACAAGGCAAUCGUACCUCGUGGGUAAGAAGGUUUUAGUUAAUAAUUUUUACAAAGGGAUAAAGGCCAAGUUUGGGCUACUGUGAGAAUAUAAGAACCACCAUGAGCCACAGACACAAGGGAAGUUCACACCGAACCACAGAAUCAUCUCCAUUAGUUUCACUCAGAAACUUUCCCAGGUGCUCAUAGGAAAGAAUGAGGACAAGGCAGGAGACCAAAGAAAGCCUCCCAUCUGGGGAGCAGAAUUCACUCUAAGUAGGCACCAACCUGCCCAAAUCUCUCUCCUCUCCAGAACAAAGCCUUAAACGUCCCUCAGAUGUAAGAAAUAAAGUUUGAUCAACAAGAGAAAGUACAGUGUGAUGGAAAUGUUAAAAAUUACAGGUAAGUAUAUUAUCUACAUCAAUUUUAGAGCAUUUAAAGAUUAGAGAAAAUGUAAAAUUAAUAAAAUGUCUAAACCAAAAAUAGUAUAAAUGUAUAAAAUAGUAGCAAUUUAAUCAAG